AUGAACGCUGGCGGCGUGCCUCAUACCUGCAAGUCGAGCGCACAGAUGAGGAGCUUGCUCCUCUGACGUUAGCGGCGGACGGGUGAGUAACACGUGGAUAACCUACCUAUAAGACUGGGAUAACUACGGGAAACCGGAGCUAAUACCGGAUAAUAUAUUGAACCGCAUGGUUCAAUAGUGAAAGACGGUUUUGCUGUCACUUAUAGAUGGAUCCGCGCCGCAUUAGCUAGUUGGUAAGGUAACGGCUUACCAAGGCAACGAUGCGUAGCCGACCUGAGAGGGUGAUCGGCCACACUGGAACUGAGACACGGUCCAGACUCCUACGGGAGGCAGCAGUAGGGAAUCUUCCGCAAUGGGCGAAAGCCUGACGGAGCAACGCCGCGUGAGUGAUGAAGGUCUUCGGAUCGUAAAACUCUGUUAUUAGGGAAGAACAAAUGUGUAAGUAACUAUGCACGUCUUGACGGUACCUAAUCAGAAAGCCACGGCUAACUACGUG
Molecule: ribosomal RNA, 496 nt
Filed under: uncultured bacterium
Lineage: Bacteria
Description: partial 16S ribosomal RNA
Rfam family: Bacterial small subunit ribosomal RNA
Source: RNAcentral